AUACGGAGGGUGCGAGCGUUAAUCGGAAUUACUGGGCGUUAAGGGUGCGUAGGCGGCUUGAUAAGUCGGAUGUGAAAGCCCCGGGCUUAACCUGGGAAUUGCAUUCGAUACUGUCAGGCUAGAGUAUGUAAGAGGUUGGCGGAAUUCCUGAUGUAGCGGUGAAAUGCGUAGAUAUCAGGAGGAAAACCAGUGGCGAAGGCGGCUAACUGGGGCAAUACUGACGCUGAGGCACGAAAGCGUGGGGAGCAAACAGGAUUAGAAACCCUAGUAGUCC
This 274-nucleotide ribosomal RNA is filed under the name uncultured bacterium. Its description in RNAcentral is "partial 16S ribosomal RNA". It matches the Rfam family "Bacterial small subunit ribosomal RNA", at positions 523 to 796 of the family's 1533-position model. The record is from RNAcentral.